This 497-nucleotide ribosomal RNA is filed under the name uncultured bacterium. RNAcentral's name for it is "partial 16S ribosomal RNA". It matches the Rfam family "Bacterial small subunit ribosomal RNA", at positions 28 to 507 of the family's 1533-position model. The record is from RNAcentral.
GAUGAACGCUGGCGGCGUGCCUAAUACAUGCAAGUCGAGCGAACGGACGAGAAGCUUGCUUCUCUGAUGUUAGCGGCGGACGGGUGAGUAACACGUGGAUAACCUACCUAUAAGACUGGGAUAACUUCGGGAAACCGUAGCUAAUACCGGAUAAUAUUUUUAACCGCAUGGUUCAACAGUGAAAGACGGUCUUUCUGUCACUUAUAGAUGGAUCCGCGCUGCAUUAGCUAGUUGGUAAGGUAACGGCUUACCAAGGCAACGAUGCAUAGCCGACCUGAGAGGGGGAUCGGCCACACGGGAACUGAGACACGGACCAGACUCCUACGAGAGGCAGCAGUAGGGAAUCUUCCGCAAUGGGCGAGAGCCUGACGGAGCAGCGCCGCGUGAGUGAUGAAGGUCUUCGGAUCGUAAAACUCUGUUAUUAGUGAAAAACAUAUGUGUAAGUAACUGUACACAUCGUGACGGUACCUAAACAAAAAGCCACGGCUAACUACGUG